This 1273-nucleotide ribosomal RNA is filed under the name metagenome. RNAcentral describes it as "bacterial LSU rRNA". It matches the Rfam family "Bacterial large subunit ribosomal RNA", at positions 1638 to 2925 of the family's 2925-position model. The record is from RNAcentral.
AUGCCUGUACCAUAACCGACACAGGUGGGUAGGUAGAGUAUACUAAGGGGCGCGAGAUAACUCUCUCUAAGGAACUCGGCAAAAUGACUCCGUAACUUCGGGAGAAGGAGUGCCUUAUUUAUAAGGUUGCAAUAACAAGAUCCAAGCAACUGUUUAUCAAAAACACAGGUCUCCGCUAAGUCGUAAGACGAUGUAUGGGGGCUGACGCCUGCCCAGUGCCAGAAGGUUAAAGAAGUUGGUUAGUGUAUGCGAAGCUGAUGACUGAAGCCCUGGUGAACGGCGGCCGUAACGAUAACGGUCCUAAGGUAGCGAAAUUCCUUGUCGGGUAAGUUCCGACCCGCACGAAAGGCGUAAUGAUUUGGAUACUGUCUCGGAGAGAGGCUCGGUGAAAUAGACUUGUCUGUGAAGAUGCGGACUACCUGCACCAGGACAGAAAGACCCUAUGAAGCUUUACUGUAACUUGAAAUUGGAAUUGGACUUUGCUUGCGCAGUAUAGGUGGGAAGCGUUGAAGAUAUUCUUGCGGGAGUAUUGGAGCUAUCAGUGAGAUACCACUCUUGUAAUGUUAGAUUUCUAACUUUGAACCAUAAUCUGGUCAAAGAACAGUUUCAGGUGGGCAGUUUGACUGGGGCGGUCGCCUCCCAAAUGGUAACGGAGGCGUACAAAGGUUUCCUCUGAACGGAUAGAAAUCGUAUCUAGAGUGUAAAGGCAUAAGGAAGCUUGACUGUGAGACCUACAAGUCGAGCAGGGACGAAAGUCGGUCUUAGUGAUCUGACGGUACUGAGUGGAAAGGCCGUCACUCAACGGAUAAAAGUUACUCUAAGGAUAACAGGCUGAUCUCCCCCAAGAGUUCACAUCGACGGGGAGGUUUGGCACCUCGAUGUCGGCUCAUCGCAUCCUGGGGCGGUAGUACGUCCCAAGGGUUGGGCUGUUCGCCCAUGAAAGCGGUACGCGAGCUGGGUUCAGAACGUCGUGAGACAGUUCGGUCCAUAUCCGGUGUAGGCGUUAGAAUAUUGAGAGGAGCCUUCUUUAGUACGAGAGGACCGAGAAGGACACACCGCUGGUGUACCAGUUAUCGUGCCAACGGUAAACGCUGGGUAGCUAUGUGUGGAGUGGAUAACCGCUGAAAGCAUCUAAGUGGGAAGCCCACCUCAAGAUGAGUGCUCUCACAGGGUUAACCUGGUAAGGUCACGGGAAGACCACCCGUUAAUAGGCACUAGGUUGAAGUCCAGUAAUGGAUGGAGCCAGGGUGUACUAACAGACCGAGGGCUUGAC